GCAAAAUAUAGUUCAUGAAGAUAUAACUAUGAAAAAAAUUAAAAGGAAUUUGUCUGUUGUCAACUUUUAAAUACUUUUUCAGAAUGAACAUGUUUCUGGAAAAAGAAAUGGAAAAGAUAGAAAAUGAAUUAUUUAUUUGGAAAUGGAAAUAUGAAGAACUGAGACAAACCAAGCUGGAAGGCCUGAAACAGCAGGAAAGAGUGUGGUUUGCGGAUAUCUCUGAAUGGGGAAAGAGAGAGAGACUUGAAGCAGAGAAACAAAGUUUGGAAGAAGAGAACAGAAGAUUGGAGUCGCAGGUAAAAGAAAUUCAGGAACUUCUGGAGAUGAAAAAUCAAGAAACACUAACUGAAUCAAGCUGUGAUCAUCAAAAUGCACAAAGUAAGCUUCUGGUUGAAAAUAAGGUAAUAUAUUCAACAGCUGAUUUUCCAGGCUUCCCUGGUAAUGAAUUGCCACCAAAGAAUUAUCUCCUGCUCAAGAGUAAAGAGACAGAAGAAAGUGAACUCGGGAUUUGGGACCAGACAAAGUUACUUGUAUGUUGCUGGAAAUUCUAA
This 551-nucleotide long non-coding RNA is filed under the name Calidris pugnax (ruff). RNAcentral describes it as "lncRNA (ENSCPUG00000006603.1)". The record is from RNAcentral. Lineage: Eukaryota; Metazoa; Chordata; Aves; Charadriiformes; Scolopacidae.